RNAcentral lists this ribosomal RNA (631 nucleotides) under uncultured archaeon. RNAcentral describes it as "bacterial SSU rRNA". It matches the Rfam family "Archaeal small subunit ribosomal RNA", at positions 1 to 634 of the family's 1478-position model. The record is from RNAcentral.
UCCGGGUUGAGCCUGCCAGAGGUUACUGCUAUCGGUGUUCGACUAAGCCAUGCGAGUCAUAUGUGUUUCCUGAUCCUGUGGGACUGCUCAGUAAGACGUGGAUAACCUGCCCUUAGGUUUGGCAUAACUCCGGGAAACUGGAGAUAAUUCCGAAUAGGUCAAAUAUGCUGGAAUGCUUUUUGACCAAAAGACCUCGGUUGCCUAAGGAUGGAUCUGCGGUCUAUCAGGUAGUAGUGGGUGUAACGUACCUACUAGCCUACGACGGAUAUGGGUUGUGAGAGCAAGAGCCCAGAGAUGGAUUCUGAGACAUGAAUCCAGGCCCUACGGGGCGCAGCAGGCGCGAAAACUUUACAAUGCGGGAAACCGCGAUAAGGGGACACCGAGUGCCAGCAUUUAUGUUGGCUGUCCACAUGUGUAAACGGCAUGUGUUAGCAAGGGCCGGGCAAGACCGGUGCCAGCCGCCGCGGUAACACCGGCGGCCCGAGUGGUAAUCACUUUUAUUGGGUCUAAAGGGUCCGUAGCCGGUUUGAUCAGUUCUUCGGGAAAUCUGACAGCUCAACUGUUAGGCUUCCGGGGAAUACUGUCAGACUUGGGACCGGGAGAGGUAAGAGGUACUACAGGGGUAGGAGUG